RNAcentral lists this non-coding RNA (149 nucleotides) under Linnemannia elongata AG-77. Its description in RNAcentral is "Mortierella elongata AG-77 Eukaryotic large subunit ribosomal RNA". It matches the Rfam family "Eukaryotic large subunit ribosomal RNA", at positions 2827 to 2984 of the family's 3401-position model. Lineage: Eukaryota; Fungi; Mortierellomycota; Mortierellomycetes; Mortierellales; Mortierellaceae. The record is from Rfam by way of RNAcentral.
UAACUGGCUUGUGGCAGCCAAGUGUUCAUAGCGGCGAUGUUUUUGAUGCCAGAUCUUCCUAUCAUACUGAAGCAGAAUUCAAUAAGCAUUGGCUCGUUCACCCACUGAUAGGGAACGUGAGCUGGGUUUAGACCGUCAGGAGUCAUGUU